UACGUACCGUCCAAACGUUAUUCGGAAUUACUGGGCUUAAAGGGUACGUAGGCGGCGCUGUCAGUCGGGUGUGAAAGCCCUCGGCUCAACCGAGGAACUGCGCUUGAAACUGUUUGACUCGAGUCAACUAGAGGUGCACGGAACUUCCAGUGGAGCGGUGAAAUGUGUUGAUAUUGGAAGGAACACCGGAGGCGAAAGCGGUGCACUGGGGUUGGUCUGACGCUGAGGCACGAAAGCCAGGGGAGCGAACGGG
RNAcentral lists this ribosomal RNA (253 nucleotides) under uncultured bacterium. Its description in RNAcentral is "partial 16S ribosomal RNA". It matches the Rfam family "Bacterial small subunit ribosomal RNA", at positions 524 to 776 of the family's 1533-position model. The record is from RNAcentral.